Molecule: ribosomal RNA, 409 nt
Filed under: bacterium
Lineage: Bacteria
Description: partial 16S ribosomal RNA
Rfam family: Bacterial small subunit ribosomal RNA
Source: RNAcentral
UGGGGAAUAUUGCACAAUGGGGGAAACCCUGAUGCAGCAACGCCGCGUGCGGGAUGACGGCCUUCGGGUUGUAAACCGCUUUCAGCCAUGACGAAGCUUUUGUGACGGUAGGGGCAGAAGAAGCACCGGCUAACUACGUGCCAGCAGCCGCGGUGAUACGUAGGGUGCGAGCGUUGUCCGGAAUUAUUGGGCGUAAAGAGCUUGUAGGCGGUUUGUCGCGUCGAAAGUGUAAACUCAGUGCUUAACGCUGAGCCUGCUUUCGAUACGGGCUGACUAGAGGAAGGUAGGGGAGAAUGGAAUUCCCGGUGGAGCGGUGGAAUGCGCAGAUAUCGGGAGGAACACCAGUGGCGAAGGCGGUUCUCUGGACCUUUCCUGACGCUGAGAAGCGAAAGCGUGGGUAGCAAACAGG